Molecule: long non-coding RNA, 637 nt
Organism: Arachis duranensis
Lineage: Eukaryota; Viridiplantae; Streptophyta; Magnoliopsida; Fabales; Fabaceae
Exons: 3
Source: RefSeq, a predicted model, not a curated record
AAAAGAUUAUUAUGUACGAGCGAAUAAUAAGGGGAAAAGAAUAAAAGAAACUGAAGGUGGAUAAGAGUGUUCUAUGUUUCAUUUGGAAUGUUCCAAGUUAAAGGCUGAGAGACGGUGGAGUUUGGGGAGGAAAGGUUUUGGGGGUAGACUUGGCUAUUCUGGACAAAAUUGAUUCUGGAUUGGAUGUUGCUGCACUCAGAGAUUUUGCAAGUGCAGUCAAUCGUAUACUGACCCCAAAGAAUUCUUUGAUGAAUUGAUAACUCACUAUCGAAGAAUACUAGAUCUUUUAAAUCCCACACAUGUCUAUGUUAUGAGGCAGCAUUUUGGGAUAAGGUUUAUGUUCUCAAGGAAUGAGAUGAUGGCUAAUUGGCUAUUGAAGUUGAACGAAGAGAGAGUUAAAAGAGUGGAAGAGAAUCAGAUUGCUUGUAUUGCAAGAAUGAAAUUGAGAGAGGUUGUUACAACAAAAUUGAGGGGAAAAAAAAUAAUAAAAUAUUAAAAUCUACAUAGCAUGUGCUCAGCUAUAUGAUUGUUUCUAAUUUUGUUAUUUAUCAUAACUCAUUCGGGUCGGGUCGGGUAUCCACUAUCCAACAUAAAUAACGAGAUUAACUAUAAGGCAAAUUUUCUAAUGUCUUUAAGU